This is a non-coding RNA of Devosia limi DSM 17137, 358 nucleotides long. It matches the Rfam family "Alphaproteobacteria transfer-messenger RNA". Rfam says of the family: Bacterial tmRNA, also known as 10Sa RNA or SsrA, is named for its dual tRNA and mRNA-like properties. Its role is to liberate the mRNA from a stalled ribosome. Lineage: Bacteria; Pseudomonadati; Pseudomonadota; Alphaproteobacteria; Hyphomicrobiales; Devosiaceae. The record is from Rfam.
CGAUUUGCAUACUGCCUUGGGGUUCCCUAUAUUGGAGGGGCUCGCAAGAGCUAUGGCGAUAAACUGUCAUCGUAAUAAACCUUUCGGACCCGGGGGCAGUACCCGGCGCCUCCACCAUCUUACCCGGCAACGGGGCAGCCAAUGGGGGCGAAACAGGAUCGACGAGGGCGUAAAGGGUGUGCUUUUGCUCGGUGAGGUACCACCGUUAUCGGUCCGAAACUUAUAGUUGCAAAUGACAACCAUAAGGCUCCAGUCGCUCUCGCUGCGUAAGCAGUGCUAGCAUUGGGAAAUUAAGUCCUCCGCUCCUAGCCGGGCGACAGGCGGGGUCCGCAGGCACCUGGCAACAGAAGCCUGCACC